Molecule: ribosomal RNA, 587 nt
Filed under: uncultured bacterium
Lineage: Bacteria
Description: partial 16S ribosomal RNA
Rfam family: Bacterial small subunit ribosomal RNA
Source: RNAcentral
UGGGGAAUUUUGGACAAUGGGCGAAAGCCUGAUCCAGCAAUGCCGCGUGUGUGAAGAAGGCCUUCGGGUUGUAAAGCACUUUUGUCCGGAAAGAAAUCCUUGGCUCUAAUACAGUCGGGGGAUGACGGUACCGGAAGAAUAAGCACCGGCUAACUACGUGCCAGCAGCCGCGGUAAUACGUAGGGUGCAAGCGUUAAUCGGAAUUACUGGGCGUAAAGCGUGCGCAGGCGGUUUGCUAAGACCGAUGUGAAAUCCCCGGGCUCAACCUGGGAGCUGCAUUGGUGACUGGCAGGCUAGAGUAUGGCAGAGGGGGGUAGAAUUCCACGUGUAGCAGUGAAAUGCGUAGAGAUGUGGAGGAAUACCGAUGGCGAAGGCAGCCCCCUGGGCCAAUACUGACGCUCAUGCACGAAAGCGUGGGGGAGCAAACAGGAUUAGAUACCCCUGGUAGUCCACGCCCUAAACGAUGUCAACUAGUUGUUGGGGAUUCAUUUCCUUAGUAACGUAGCUAACGCGUGAAGUUGACCGCCUGGGGAGUACGGUCGCAAGAUUAAAACUUAAAUGAAUUGACGGGGUCAUAGCUGUUUCCU